This 253-nucleotide ribosomal RNA is filed under the name uncultured bacterium. RNAcentral's name for it is "partial 16S ribosomal RNA". It matches the Rfam family "Bacterial small subunit ribosomal RNA", at positions 524 to 776 of the family's 1533-position model. The record is from RNAcentral.
UACGUAGGGUGCGAGCGUUAAUCGGAAUUACUGGGCGUAAAGCGUGCGCAGGCGGUUUUUUAAGUCAGGUGUGAAAUCCCCGGGCUUAACCUUGGAACUGCCUUUGAGACUGCAAGGCUAGAGUGUAGCAGAGGGGGGUAGAAUUCCACGUGUAGCAGUGAAAUGCGUAGAUAUGUGGAGGAAUACCGAUGGCGAAGGCAGCCCCCUGGGCUAACACUGACGCUGAUGCACGAAAGCGUGGGGAGCAAACAGG